UACGGAGGAUCCGAGCGUUAUCCGGAUUUAUUGGGUUUAAAGGGAGCGUAGGUGGAUUGUUAAGUCAGUUGUGGAAGUUUGCGGCUCAACCGUAAAAUUGCAGUUGAAACUGGCAGUCUUGAGUACAGUAGAGGUGGGCGGAAUUCGUGGUGUAGCGGUGAAAUGCUUAGAUAUCACGAAGAACUCCGAUUGCGAAGGCAGCUCACUGGACUGCAACUGACACUGAGGCUCGAAAGUGUGGGUAUCAAACAGG
RNAcentral lists this ribosomal RNA (253 nucleotides) under uncultured bacterium. RNAcentral describes it as "partial 16S ribosomal RNA". It matches the Rfam family "Bacterial small subunit ribosomal RNA", at positions 524 to 776 of the family's 1533-position model. The record is from RNAcentral.